AGAGUUUGAUCCUGGCUCACCGCGAACGCUGGCGGCAUGCCUAACACAUGCAAGUCGUACGGAGAGUGGGGCAACUCACUCUCAGUGGCAAACGGGUGAGUAACGCGUGAAUAACCUACCUUUGAGAAGGGGAUAACUGUCCGAAAGGAUAGCUAAUACCCUAUAUUGCCUUUUGUCUCUAACGCAAAAAGUGAAAGCGAGGCUGUCAAAGGCUUCGGCUCAAAGAGGGGUUCGCGUCCUAUCAGGUAGUUGGUGGGGUAAUGGCCUACCAAGCCAAUGACGGGUACCUGGUCUUAAAGGAUGAUCAUCCACAGUGGGACUGAGACACGGCCCCCCCCCCUACGGGGGGCAGCAGUGGGGAAUCGGGGGCAAUGGGCGCAAGCCUGACCCCCCAAUGCCGCGUGAGGGAAAAACCCCUUCGGGGUGUAAACCUCUGUCAGAUGGGAAGAUGGGGCUAGGGGUUAAUACCUCCUGGUCUUGACGGUACCAUCAAAGGAAGGGACGGCUAACUACGUGCCACCAGCCGCGGUAAUACGUAGGUCCCGAGCGUUGCGCGAUGUUACUGGGCGUAAAGCGUCCGUAUCUGGUUUCGUAAGCGGAUUGUCAAAACCCGAAGCUCAACUUCGGCAAGGUUUCCGAACUGCUUUACUUGAGUCCUGUUCAGGUAGGCGGAAUUCCCGGUGUAACGGUGAAAUGCAUAGAUAUCGGGAGGAACACCAGUGGCGAAAGCGGACUACUGGGACGGUACUGACGGUCAUGGACGACUGCUGGGGGAGCAAACAGUAUUAGAUACCCUGUUACUC
RNAcentral lists this ribosomal RNA (803 nucleotides) under uncultured bacterium. RNAcentral describes it as "bacterial SSU rRNA". It matches the Rfam family "Bacterial small subunit ribosomal RNA", at positions 8 to 795 of the family's 1533-position model. The record is from RNAcentral.